UACGUAGGGUGCAAGCGUUAAUCGGAAUUACUGGGCGUAAAGCGUGCGCAGGCGGUUAUUUAAGUCAGAUGUGAAAUCCCCGGGCUCAACCUGGGAACUGCAUCUGAGACUGUAUGGCUAGAGUGUGUCAGAGGGGGGUAGAAUUCCACGUGUAGCAGUGAAAUGCGUAGAUAUGUGGAGGAAUACCGAUGGCGAAGGCAGCCCCCUGGGAUAACACUGACGCUCAUGCACGAAAGCGUGGGGAGCAAACAGG
This 253-nucleotide ribosomal RNA is filed under the name uncultured bacterium. Its description in RNAcentral is "partial 16S ribosomal RNA". It matches the Rfam family "Bacterial small subunit ribosomal RNA", at positions 524 to 776 of the family's 1533-position model. The record is from RNAcentral.